Molecule: ribosomal RNA, 253 nt
Filed under: uncultured bacterium
Lineage: Bacteria
Description: partial 16S ribosomal RNA
Rfam family: Bacterial small subunit ribosomal RNA
Source: RNAcentral
UACGUAGGGAGCUAGCGUUGUCCGGAAUCAUUGGGCGUAAAGCGCGCGUAGGCGGCCCGGUAAGUCCGCUGUGAAAGUCAAAGGCUCAACCUUUGAAUGUCAGCGGAUACUGUCGGGCUAGAGUCCGGAAGAGGCGAGUGGAACUCCUGGUGUAGCGGUGGAAUGCGCAGAUAUCAGGAAGAACACCAACGGCGAAGGCAGCUCGCUGGGACGGUACUGACGCUAAGGCGCGAAAGCGUGGGGAGCGAACAGG